AUUGAACGCUGGCGGCAUGCUUUACACAUGCAAGUCGAACGGUAACAGGCCUUCGGGUGCUGACGAGUGGCGAACGGGUGAGUAAUGCAUCGGAACGUACCCAGAGGUGGGGGAUAACGCAGCGAAAGCUGUGCUAAUACCGCAUGUGAUCUGAGGAUGAAAGCGGGGGACCGAGCAGCAAUGUUUGGCCUCGCGCCUUUGGAGCGGCCGAUGUCGGAUUAGCUAGUUGGUGGGGUAAAGGCCUACCAAGGCGACGAUCCGUAGCUGGUCUGAGAGGACGACAAGCCACACUGGGACUGAGACACGGCCCAGACUCCUACGGGAGGCAGCAGUGGGGAAUUUUGGACAAUGGGCGCAAGCCUGAUCCAGCAAUGCCGCGUGCGGGAAGAAGGCCUUCGGGUUGUAAAACGCUUUUGGCAGGAACGAAACGGUGUCCGCUAAUACCGGGCGCUAAUGACGGUACCUGCAGAAUAAGCACCGGCUAACUACGUG
This 492-nucleotide ribosomal RNA is filed under the name uncultured bacterium. RNAcentral's name for it is "partial 16S ribosomal RNA". It matches the Rfam family "Bacterial small subunit ribosomal RNA", at positions 29 to 507 of the family's 1533-position model. The record is from RNAcentral.